RNAcentral lists this ribosomal RNA (253 nucleotides) under uncultured bacterium. RNAcentral describes it as "partial 16S ribosomal RNA". It matches the Rfam family "Bacterial small subunit ribosomal RNA", at positions 524 to 776 of the family's 1533-position model. The record is from RNAcentral.
UACGUAGGGUGCAAGCGUUGUCCGGAAUUAUUGGGCGUAAAGAGCUCGUAGGCGGUCUGUCGCGUCUGCUGUGAAAAUCCAGGGCUCAACCCUGGACCUGCAGUGGGUACGGGCAGACUAGAGUGCGGUAGGGGAGAUCGGAAUUCCUGGUGUAGCGGUGAAAUGCGCAGAUAUCAGGAGGAACACCGGUGGCGAAGGCGGGUCUCUGGGCAACAACUGACGCUGAGGAGCGAAAGCGUGGGGAGCGAACAGG